RNAcentral lists this ribosomal RNA (623 nucleotides) under uncultured bacterium. RNAcentral describes it as "bacterial SSU rRNA". It matches the Rfam family "Bacterial small subunit ribosomal RNA", at positions 59 to 726 of the family's 1533-position model. The record is from RNAcentral.
AAGUCGAGCGCUUCCCUUCGGGGAGGAGCGGCGGACGGGUUAGUAACGCGUGGGAAUAUACCCAGUUCUAAGGAAUAGCCAUUGGAAACGAUGAGUAAUACCUUAUACGCCCUUCGGGGGAAAGAUUUAUCGGAAUUGGAUUAGCCCGCGUUAGAUUAGAUAGUUGGUGGGGUAACGGCCUACCAAGUCGACGAUCUAUAGCUGGUUUGAGAGGAUGAUCAGCAACACUGGGACUGAGACACGGCCCAGACUCCUACGGGAGGCAGCAGUGGGGAAUCUUAGACAAUGGGCGCAAGCCUGAUCUAGCCAUGCCGCGUGAGUGAUGAAGGCCCUAGGAUCGUAAAACUCUUUCGCCAGGGAUGAUAAUGACAGUACCUGGUAAAGAAACCCCGGCUAACUCCGUGCCAGCAGCCGCGGUAAUACGGAGGGGGUUAGCGUUGUUCGGAAUUACUGGGCGUAAAGCGUACGUAGGCGGAUUAGUAAGUUAGAGGUGAAAUCCCAGGGCUCAACCUUGGAACUGCCUUUAAUACUGCUAGUCUUGAGUUCGAGAGAGGUGAGUGGAAUUCCAAGUGUAGAGGUGAAAUUCGUAGAUAUUUGGAGGAACACCAGUGGCGAAGGCGGCU